AACGAACGCUGGCGGCAUGCCUAACACAUGCAAGUCGAACGAGACCUUCGGGUCUAGUGGCGCACGGGUUCGUAACGCGUGGGAACCUUCCCUUAGGUUCGGAAUAACUCCCCGAAAGGGGUGCUAAUACCGGAUAAUGUCUUCGGACCAAAGAUUUAUCGCCGUUGGAUGUGCCCGCGUUGGAUUAGCUAGUUGGUAGGGUAAAAGCCUACCAAGGCGACCAUCCAUAGCUGGUCUGAGAGGAUGAUCAGCCACACUGGGACUGAGACACGGCCCAGACUCCUACGGGAGGCAGCAGUGGGGAAUAUUGGACAAUGGGCGAAAGCCUGAUCCAGCAAUGCCGCGUGAGUGAUGAAGGCCUUAGGGUUGUAAAGCUCUUUUACCCGGGAUGAUAAUGACAGUACCGGGAGAAUAAGCCCCGGCUAACUCCGUG
This 433-nucleotide ribosomal RNA is filed under the name uncultured bacterium. RNAcentral's name for it is "partial 16S ribosomal RNA". It matches the Rfam family "Bacterial small subunit ribosomal RNA", at positions 29 to 507 of the family's 1533-position model. The record is from RNAcentral.